RNAcentral lists this long non-coding RNA (1550 nucleotides) under Salmo salar (Atlantic salmon). RNAcentral describes it as "lncRNA (ENSSSAG00000084555.1, ENSSSAG00000121771.1)". The record is from RNAcentral. Lineage: Eukaryota; Metazoa; Chordata; Actinopteri; Salmoniformes; Salmonidae.
UGCCUUAUCCCUGUGUGUGGGAGAAAUUGGUUAUAAAUAUGGAGCUCCCUCGAUCAAUAAGGAGCACAGUCAAAACUGCCAGUCAGACAGAUAGACACACAACUCACACACAACAUAACGGAGAUACAGGUAGACUCACAGGUGUGCUCACAGGGAGACUUCCAGGUAAACUUACAGAUGGAAAAACAGAGAGAUAGACAGAUGGAAGCCCAUGUGUUCAUUCCAGGGCCCCCCUCACCUACAGCCAUCCGCCCCUGGUCCAGGUGUGGAGCAGUGAUGGGGCUCGUGAUCAUGCUUCUAUUCGUGGGGUUAUCAUGUUUCUGCAUUGGGUUCUACACCCAGAGAGUCACACAGGGAACUGGACAAUCAGAUCGCACAGGGAAAUUCAACCAGACCUUCCCACUUAAAGAGGGCAGAAAGUCAGAAGAAAUACCAGACGAAGUACAGUACGACAUCUUCACCGCACCGAAGGACGCCAUCUAUUUUAUCCACGGCCAGGUGAGCAGAGCAGACGGCAAGGGGAAAGUCUACCUGUUUUGGAAACUCACUAGCAGCCGUAACAUCAACACCAACGACGGAAUCUGCCCUGAGAUCACCUUCGCUACUGAGGUCAAGUUGUUCAAAGGUUGUCAAGUUUACCUCGUCUUCAACGAGGGCAAACCCAACCUGAAAGAGAGCACUUUCACAGUCUACGAGCUUGUCUAGAAAUGUUAAGCCACACUGUAAGAUAGCAUUAAAGAUUUCAUUCCAUGAGUUAUCUGUAGUGCUCAAGGAAUGACAUUCCAUGAGAGCGACACCUGUGAACAAAUGUUUAACUCAUUUAUACUGAGGCUGUAUAGACCAGUACAGUACAGUACAGUUUACAUCUGGAUCAAAGUAUUGACCUUUGUUAUAACACAUAAGCUGGGUCAGUUGGUUAGUGUGCUGUCUAUACCAGUGUUUCCCAACUCCAGUCCUCGAGUACCCCCAACAGCAUACAUUUUGUUGUAGCCCUGGACAAGCACCCCUGAAUCAACUUGUCUACUUAUCAAGCCCUCAAUGAGUUGAAUGAGUUGAGUUUGACCGGGGCAACAACAAAAAUAUGUACUGUUGUGGGUACUCCAAGAGUUGGGAAACACCGGUAUAGACAGCAUACUAACCACCCGACACAGUUUAUGUGUUAUAACAAGGGUCAUAACCUUUAUGUUCAGGGUCCAGUCUACAUAUUCCCUCUGUGUGGUGACAUUCCCUCAGCCUAAGAGACAUGCACUAAAUGAGGGGGUCAUUUUGGAGCUGGCUGGUGGACUACCCAAAGCCGUUAUGGGUUACUGCAGUCAACCAUGAAGUUACAAAGAUAUUGAAUGUAAUAAAAUAUUUUAUGAAUAAGAUGGUUAUUUUUGGACCUAAUAUUUCCAUUGCCUUCAAGAUCAAAUAAAGUAUUUAAUAUGAAAACUCUGCACAGCCUCACAUCAAAUACCCUGUCAUCAGUACUGUGUUUUCACUUUUUCCAUGGCCCUGGUCUUUCUGUCAGCCAAAGGCAGGGUGUUUGUUCUGUGAUACUUUGUCCUGAG